This 71-nucleotide transfer RNA is filed under the name Firmicutes bacterium CAG:631. It matches the Rfam family "tRNA". From Rfam's summary of the family: Transfer RNA (tRNA) molecules are approximately 80 nucleotides in length. Their secondary structure includes four short double-helical elements and three loops (D, anti-codon, and T loops). The record is from Rfam by way of RNAcentral. Lineage: Bacteria; Bacillati; Bacillota.
GCCAAUAUAGUUAAAUGGCAUAACAAAUCCAUGGUAAGGAUUAGUUCGGUGUUCGAUUCACCGUAUUGGCA